This 482-nucleotide ribosomal RNA is filed under the name uncultured bacterium. RNAcentral describes it as "partial 16S ribosomal RNA". It matches the Rfam family "Bacterial small subunit ribosomal RNA", at positions 30 to 507 of the family's 1533-position model. The record is from RNAcentral.
AUUGAACGCUGGCGGCAUGCUUUACACAUGCAAGUCGAACGGUAACAGGUCUUCGGCUGCUGACGAGUGGCGAACGGGUGAGUAAUACAUCGGAACGUGCCUAGUAGUGGGGGAUAACUACUCGAAAGAGUAGCUAAUACCGCAUGAGAUCUACGGAUGAAAGCCGGGGACCUUCGGGCCUUGUGCUACUAGAGCGGCUGAUGGCAGAUUAGGUAGUUGGUGGGGUAAAGGCUUACCAAGCCUGCGAUCUGUAGCUGGUCUGAGAGGACGACCAGCCACACUGGGACUGAGACACGGCCCAGACUCCUACGGGAGGCAGCAGUGGGGAAUUUUGGACAAUGGGCGAAAGCCUGAUCCAGCAAUGCCGCGUGCAGGAUGAAGGCCCUCGGGUUGUAAACUGCUUUUGUACGGAACGAAAAGCCUGGGGCUAAUAUCCCCGGGUCAUGACGGUACCGUAAGAAUAAGCACCGGCUAACUACGUG